Molecule: long non-coding RNA, 1945 nt
Organism: Oncorhynchus tshawytscha (Chinook salmon)
Lineage: Eukaryota; Metazoa; Chordata; Actinopteri; Salmoniformes; Salmonidae
Source: Ensembl
CGGAGGAGAGCCACAAUGGAUAAACUAACGGGCCACGGGAGGACCGCGCUUUGAUUUAUAAUCCGUCGAGAGAUACCAUCUCGUAUGCCAUCCACGAGAGACAAGUGAAAUAACGGUUAAGGGAUCUCACAACCUCGGAAAUAAACCACCAAUUCGACAUGGAUCGGUUUGAGCAUCGACAGCGCCUUUUAGAAACUGGCUGCCUCCACCUGCUUCGAAGGCGGAUUUUGGAUAAGAAGCGUUUAUCGUUUUCUGUACUGUCCUCUCUUCAUAGGUACAUCAUCUGAUUUCAUUUCCUCGGUAAAAACCUAUUCUAUAGGCUAGCCAUAUGCUUCUCAUCCUAUACCGGAACCCUUACUGCUGCCUUCCACGCGGGUGCGCCUCCCUCCGUUGGAUGGCAAAAGAACCAGGAAAAAUGUCCUCGCAUUGAAAAGUAAGGAUUCCUUAUUCAAUAGACGUCGAUUGGCUGCCUGAGAUACACACAGAAACUCUGCAGUGUGAACAGCACACGCUGUCUACUAUAUGUGACUGCCAGCCAUUCACACCAGGUCUGGAUUGAGCGAGGGAAAAGUGGCACAGUCGUCACAAAAAAGGAGAAAGCAGGAGGGGAAGAAAAAGGCCAACCCCCUUGUCCCUCUUCCCUUAAAUCUCCAUCACCGGAAGCCUUUGGUGCCAUCUGUGCCCCCGGAGAAAAGGACGGACGAGAUGCCUCCACCCUGUGCCAACGGGGACAAAGGAGCUGCCAGUUAGAGCGGCCCCCCUCGCAGGCAACCAGAGGACUCUGUGUGACUGACUGGGGCUGAGCUACGGAAGCCAUCUUGAUGGAGAGUCUUGCUGCUGCUCCUAAAAUGGCUGUGUUGGCAUGAGGUCCUGCUGGUGUUGACAACCUCCAGAGGAAGCCUCUUCCAUCAGCCCUGAGCCCUGAGCCCUGGGCCCUGGCAGUCGGUUUAGACGCACCAGCGGGAAUAGCAUGUCAGAUCCCAGGAUGUCACGCAAGGCCUUCCUCAUUGGCAUCCUCUCCAGUCAAACACUGAGAAAUUAGGGCACUGAAGAAUCCCCCCUAAAAUUAAUGCUUGGAGAGAUUUACUGUAAGGACAAUGUUUGGAGUUAUUAGAAGAAAUUGUUUGCAGAAGUUGCACACGGAUUAUCUGCAGAGAUAUUGCACUUGGGUAAUGAAUGUUCUCUUUUCCCUGGCUGAGAGUGUAUAGUUUCAAUAUAACUUUUAACAUUACAGCAGAAUGUAAGACAAUGUGUGUAUGAUGUGAAAUCAAAAGGGAUGAGAUCAACAUGUGUUCAUACCUUAAUCUAAGUGUGUGUGUGUGUGGUCCGUGUGCGCGUGUGAGUGUGUGUGUGUGUGGUUUGGUCCCUAUUGUACUAUUUAGAGUACUCUGGAGUGUACUGGGCUUCAGAGAAGCACUACAGUGCCCUAAUGUGUGGGCUGCUUACAAGAGAAGCUCUCUGGAUGUCUAUCCUCUGUCAUGUGCAAUUAGUUACUUUAUGAAUAGAACUGACUACUCUAUGCAAAUAAAUGUGAAUGACUCACCCUCUGGCUGUAUUGCAAAUGUUGUUUAAUGUUUGACUGACACAGUGAAAAGAAAGACAUUGUUUGGUGAAGAUUCCAUCCAUUUACUGUAUAUCCAUCAAAUGCUGCGUUUUUCCAAUUACAAAUAUUAUCUGCAUGUGUUCAUAGUGAUCAGGGAAUGUUCUACAUGAAAUGUGUUGGAUACAGUAUUGAAGCAGUCAGAUUAAUAGCCGUCUCAUUGCCUGAUUGUUAUUAUUAUCCUUAUUCAGAGAGAUAGACAGUUUUGAACAUACCUGCAAUAAAGAAAGGGACACAUACUUGUACACUAAAGUCAUACAAAACAUGUUUUUGUAAUUGAGUUCUGACUUGUCAUAACUUCUGUGCUGUUUGAAUUGAAUGUGUAUACAGAAUAAAUAAUUCAAC